Molecule: ribosomal RNA, 428 nt
Filed under: uncultured prokaryote
Description: bacterial SSU rRNA
Rfam family: Bacterial small subunit ribosomal RNA
Source: RNAcentral
UGAGGAAUUUUGCGCAAUGGGAGCAAUCCUGACGCAGCAACGCCGCGUGGGUGAUGAAGGCCUUCGGGUCGUAAAGCCCUGUCAGGUGGAAAGAAUGUCCCGGGACUGAACAGGUUCCGGGAGUGACGGUACCACCAGAGGAAGCACCGGCUAACUCCGUGCCAGCAGCCGCGGUAAUACGGAGGGUGCAAGCGUUAUUCGGAAUUACUGGGCGUAAAGCGCGUGUAGGCGGUCCCGCAAGUCUGAUGUGAAAGCCCCGGGCUUAACCCGGGAAGUGCAUUGGAAACUGUGGGACUUGAGGACGGGAGAGGAUGGGGGAAUUCCCGGUGUAGAGGUGAAAUUCGUAGAGAUCGGGAGGAAUAUCAGUGGCGAAGGCGCCCAUCUGGACGGUAACUGACGCUGAGACACGAAAGCGUGGGGAGCAAACA